CGGCAGUAUUGAAGCUUCGGUGGAUUUACUGGACGUCGAGCGGCGGACGGGUGAGUAACGGCUGGGAACCUGCCCUGACGAGGGGGAUAACCGUUGGAAACGACGGCUAAUACCGCAUAAUGUCUUGAUUCGUUAGAGUCAGGACCAAAGGUGGCCUCUACAUGUAAGCUAUCGCGUUGGGAUGGGCCCAGUUAGGAUUAGCUAGUUGGUAAGGUAAUGGCUUACCAAGGCARCGAUCCUUAGCUGGUUUGAGAGGAUGAUCAGCCACACUGGGACUGAGACACGGCCCAGACUCCUACGGGAGGCAGCAGUGGGGAAUAUUGCACAAUGGGGGAGACCCUGAUGCAGCCAUGCCGCGUGUGUGAAGAAGGCCUUCGGGUUGUAAAGCACUUUCAGCAGUGAGGAAGGUCGUGUACUUAAUACGUGCACGGCUUGACGUUAGCUGCAGAAGAAGCACCGGCUAACUCCGUGCCAGCAGCCGCGGUAAUACGGAGGGUGCGAGCGUUAAUCGGAAUUACUGGGCGUAAAGCGCAUGCAGGCGGUUUGUUAAGUCAGAUGUGAAAGCCCGGGGCUCAACCUCGGAACCGCAUUUGAAACUGGCAGGCUAGAGUCUUGUAGAGGGGGGUAGAAUUUCAGGUGUAGCGGUGAAAUGCGUAGAGAUCUGAAGGAAUACCAGUGGCGAAGGCGGCCCCCUGGACAAAGACUGACGCUCAGAUGCGAAAGCGUGGGUAGCAAACAGGAUUAGAUACCCUGGUAGUCCACGCCGUAGACGCUGUCUACUUGGAGGUUGAGGUUUUAGACUUUGGCUUUCGGCGCUAACGCAUUAAGUAGACCGCCUGGGGAGUACGGCCGCAAGGUUAAAACUCAAAUGAAUUGACGGGGGCCCGCACAAGCGGUGGAGCAUGUGGUUUAAUUCGAUGCAACGCGAAGAACCUUACCUACUCUUGACAUCCAGCGAAGCCUUUAGAGAUAGAGGCGUGCCUUCGGGAGCGCUGAGACAGGUGCUGCAUGGCUGUCGUCAGCU
This 1024-nucleotide ribosomal RNA is filed under the name Salinivibrio sp. RNAcentral's name for it is "bacterial SSU rRNA". It matches the Rfam family "Bacterial small subunit ribosomal RNA", at positions 67 to 1060 of the family's 1533-position model. The record is from RNAcentral. Lineage: Bacteria; Pseudomonadati; Pseudomonadota; Gammaproteobacteria; Vibrionales; Vibrionaceae.